AGUGAACGCUGGCGGUAGGCCUAACACAUGCAAGUCGAACGGCAGCACAGAGGAGCUUGCUCCUUGGGUGGCGAGUGGCGGACGGGUGAGGAAUACAUCGGAAUCUACUCUGUCGUGGGGGAUAACGUAGGGAAACUUACGCUAAUACCGCAUACGACCUACGGGUGAAAGCAGGGGAUCUUCGGACCUUGCGCGAUUGAAUGAGCCGAUGUCGGAUUAGCUAGUUGGCGGGGUAAAGGCCCACCAAGGCGACGAUCCGUAGCUGGUCUGAGAGGAUGAUCAGCCACACUGGAACGGAGCCACGGUCCAGACUCGUACGGGAGGCAGCAGUGGGGAAUAUUGGACAAUGGGCUCAAGCCUGAUCCAGCCAGACCGCGUGGGUGAAGAAGGCCUUCGGGUUGUAAAGCCCUUUUGUUGGGAAAGAAAUCCAUCUGGUUAAUACCCGGGUGGGAUGACGGUACCCAAAGAAUAAGCACCGGCUAACUUCGUGCCAGCCGCCGCAGUAA
RNAcentral lists this ribosomal RNA (506 nucleotides) under uncultured bacterium. RNAcentral describes it as "partial 16S ribosomal RNA". It matches the Rfam family "Bacterial small subunit ribosomal RNA", at positions 29 to 523 of the family's 1533-position model. The record is from RNAcentral.